UCAAUGGAUCAAUCAGUUUAUCAGAGUAAUCCAGGUCCCUAUUGGAGUCAGUCAGAGCAUUUCCAUAGAGAGCCACUUUGCAUCAGCAGCACCAUGCUCCAGUGCUCUGGGAGAGUUUAUAGUCCUGAGAGUUGAACACUGGAUGACUGACAGCUGUCCUUCAUGACAACAGAAGCCACAGAAAUCCUCCUCAUCAGAAACAUGACUUUGAUCUGCGUCCUCAUCUGGACUCUCCUCUGCUGCUGCUUCACAGAGUCCAGAGGACAGGUCACAGUGACUCAGCCUGGAGCAGUGAGCUCUGCUCCGGGAGGCUCCGUCUCCAUCAGCUGUAGGAUCAGUCAGAAGGUUCAUGUUUAUAGCAAUAACCACUGUUUAGCCUGGUACCAACAGAGAGAUGGAGAAACUCCUAAACUGCUUAUUUACUAUGCUAGCUCUCGUCAGUCAGGGACUCCAGAUCGUUUUACAGGCAGUGGAUCAAACUCCGACUUCACUCUGACCAUCAGUGGAGUUCAGACUGAAGAUGCAGCAGUUUACUACUGUCAGAGUUUUCACUAUCCCAACAGUCAGUAUGUGUUCACACAGUGA
Molecule: non-coding RNA, 585 nt
Organism: Centropristis striata (black sea bass)
Lineage: Eukaryota; Metazoa; Chordata; Actinopteri; Perciformes; Serranidae
Source: the annotation of a RefSeq genome assembly